GCCAUGAGGGCGACAUAUGUCGAGAAAUAACUUCACACGGACUUCUCCUACCUGUUGUCUUGUUAAGAUAUGCCAUUACCAACACGAGACCCAUAGGCAGACGACAGAUUGACGGGCGACGAGUGCAGAUAGAAGAAGAAUUGGAGAUUCAGAGGCAACGCUACAGACUAGUGGCUAUACUGUGCCACUUUGGAGAUUUCAACUCUGGCCACUACACUGCCUACACUCUUCGGAAUGAACAAUGGUUCCUUUGUAAUGAUGAGAAAGUCCAUCAAUGCAACAUCAUGAAUGAAAUGGCAGCUGCUGAUCACUCUUAUGUUUUCUUCUACAAGAAAUGUGUAGGCACUCUUCAGCAUCAGACACAUCACAGCCAUCCUAGGCCUGCACCCAAACUGACAGAAGACAAUUGCAGCACUCAAUCCAGGUUUCAGGAAGGUGGAGUUUCUGUUACCCACCUGGUACCAAAUACAUCACACAAGGGCCAGAUCAACAAGUCUCAAGGAAUACAGUCCAGAAAGAGAAAGAUCAUACAAUCAACUGGCCUGGAAAAGCUGCUACCAAGACAGAAGGUGACCAGAGCUACCAUGCCAGAUGGAAUGGUUAAGUACUACAUCCAACUGCAGCCAAGGAUUGUCACCAAGAGUA
Molecule: long non-coding RNA, 645 nt
Organism: Branchiostoma floridae (Florida lancelet)
Lineage: Eukaryota; Metazoa; Chordata; Leptocardii; Amphioxiformes; Branchiostomatidae
Exons: 4
Source: RefSeq, a predicted model, not a curated record